RNAcentral lists this long non-coding RNA (689 nucleotides) under Medicago truncatula (barrel medic). Its description in RNAcentral is "lncRNA gene12147". Lineage: Eukaryota; Viridiplantae; Streptophyta; Magnoliopsida; Fabales; Fabaceae. The record is from RNAcentral.
CUUUGAGAAUAUUAGAGAGUUUCUCUAUUUUCUCUACCUUUCCUUUUGUCCGUGAGCCAUAAUUUGACUAGUAUAUAAGCUAGAGAAGUGCAUUAGGGAUGUUGUACAUAGUUUAUAACUCAAGAAUUCAUGCAUAAAUUCCAAUGUAUACGGCAUAAUGGAAAUUAUCAUGCUUCUGUGAUUGAAAAACAGGAAUUACGCGACAAUCAUUCACCCCCGCUUCGUGUCUUGUUCAGCCCUCACUAGAUCGCAUCUCAUCUCCCUGUCCAAACCAAAUCGUGUACCAAACCUCAUCCAUAUCAUUUUGUUCUCUUUGAAACUGUGCAACCCUUGGGGCAGGUACUAUAACAGACUCAUGUUGUGCAUUAAGGAUGUUUUGCAUUGCAUCCUCACUCACUCCAAAAGCAGCAGCAAGCUCAGGUCCCAUCAUGCUCUUCAUAAGUGACGUGGCACCAACCAAAAACUGUGGCUUAUUCUUCUGAGCUGAAGUUGUGAAUCCAAAGAAAUCAAGUGGUUCAUUGCUUGAUGCUAUUUGGCAAAAUGCAAAGUAUCUUGGUAUAAAGAAAACAUCUCCUUGUUUUAUAUGUGUGUCCAUUGCAUUGGUUCCAUUUGGAAACACUAUUUGAAUUCUACCAGAACCUCUUAAGACUAUGCCAUACUCUGUUGCCCUUGGAUUUACAUGGGGUGUC